Molecule: ribosomal RNA, 253 nt
Filed under: uncultured bacterium
Lineage: Bacteria
Description: partial 16S ribosomal RNA
Rfam family: Bacterial small subunit ribosomal RNA
Source: RNAcentral
UACGUAGGUGGCAAGCGUUGUCCGGAUUUACUGGGCGUAAAGGGCGUGCAGGCGGUCUGUUAAGUGCAGGGUGAAAGCUCCCGGCUCAACUGGGAGAGGUCCUUGCAUACUGGCGGACUUGAGGAGGGUAGAGGAGAGUGGAAUUCCCGGUGUAGUGGUGAAAUGCGUAGAUAUCGGGAGGAACACCAGUGGCGAAGGCGACUACCUGGCCUGUUCUUGACGCUGAGGCGCGAAAGCUAGGGUAGCAAACGGG